Molecule: long non-coding RNA, 3703 nt
Filed under: Canis lupus familiaris (dog)
Lineage: Eukaryota; Metazoa; Chordata; Mammalia; Carnivora; Canidae
Description: lncRNA (ENSCAFG00040013048.1)
Source: RNAcentral
GCAGGGGGCUGGGAGGGGCACGCGCAGGCCGGGCUCACGCCAAGCCAGGCCGGUCCGAGCGCCCCAAGGCCGGUCCGGCCUCCGUUUCCCACCGACACCGGGAGGCCGAGGACGCGCGGCUGCUGGACCUGCUGGAGGCCGGGCGCCCGGGACCGAGCCCGCCUGCAGACUCCCGGCGGGGUCCUCCGCCCGCCGCGCUCAGCGCUGUGCCUGCCCGGCCGGAGGCGCCCCGAAGCGGGCCGCGCAGUGGGGUCCGGCCCUGGGGCGCAGCUCCGCCUUCCCCGCCCUGCGCGCCUGGAGGGGACCCGGGGACCCCGCGAGGGAGGCCCAGCCGCAGCCGGACGUGGGGCUCGCGGGUGCCGCAGGGAGCUGGGGGGGAGGGGAGGGGGGAGGGGAGGGGGAGCGGGCGGCCCUCGGUGCGGCCCUCGGUGCUCCCCACGUCCGGAUUCUCCUGCCACUGACGCUGUGUGGUCGCGUGACAUUGGCCGCCCCGGGGUCCCGGGUGCGAGCGGCGGGCUCGGGAGAGCGGGCGCAGGGCCACGGCUGGAGUGGGCCGUGCUGCCCGCCCCGCCCCGCCCAGCCCCGCCCGCCCGCCGAGCCCGGAAGGAAAGUGAGGGUGUAGCGCCCCCUCAUGGCGAACCCACGUUACGGCGGCGCAGGAGGGCAGGGCCUGGGGCUGCGGCAGGGGGCAGGGGCUGCGGGCAGGGGCAGGGGCUGCAGGGGCAGGGGCCCCACGACACCCAGGCGGUGGGAAAUGAGCCUUCCUCCGGGCGGCCCUCCCCCAGGCCAGCACCAGCCUGCUGUCCCCCGACAGCCGAUUCCCUCACGCGGGUCCCAAUUACUGGAGGGAUGGACUCGGGCCCCCACGAGUAUGGAAGGAAAACACGGGACAGUCCUCAAGGAGGUCGCCUCAGAAAUAGGGACAACUGGAGCCAACUCGCUGCGUCAUUAGCUGGGCUUCGGGACCCCCCUCCGGUGCAGGUACCCCGAGCCGCGCAGAGAUCCCGCCCUCCCCGGCACGGACCUCGGCUCCCAAGGCAUGGACGGCGGCUGGCGAGACGCGCCGAGGACUACGCUCCACCUGCCAGCGGGCCCGUUGGGGUUUGUCACCGGGAUCCCAGACCAUUCGGAGCCACAGUCUUCCCUUCCUCCUUCUCUAGUGUUUCCCCAAAGAACGGCUACAGGAAGGUCACUUCUACGGAGCCUCAGACCAAAAAUUAAGCCCCGGGUAGGAGGGAUGGCCCAAGGAGCCUUCUCCGUCCGUAGUGUGGCUACUGGUCUGGGGGGCCUGGCAUGUCCUGACAGAGAGACCCCCGGACAGACGGCCUCAUUCCCGUGCUUCCAGAAGGCUCUCUGGUCCCCACCUGCUUCUACGGCAGCUCCACCUUCAGUUCCCGCCUGUACUGGAAGGUUGAGCUGAGGGUGGGCCCCUUCCCCGCUAGCCCACCUAGGCCGUGGAAUGUCCCGCGGCAUGUGGAAGGGGAAGGGCCCCUGCAGUCCCCCCAUGUAAGCGACAGUGGGGGAAGGAUAGAGAAAUCGGGGCAGGGAGAGUGCAGUGGGACCGCAGCCCGGGCGCGAGGGAUUGCUCGGGGUUACGGGGGCUGAGGCUCGGAGCUCUGGGUCGGCGGUGCUGGGGCCGUGCCUGCCUUCCCGACCACGGAGGCAAGGACCGGGCGCUGGGGGGCCGUGCGUGAGGCCGGGCCUGCCGUGACGAGGCCGACGCCUGGAGGGUGGGUGCCGCUGCCCCAACGGGGCUGGAGGGCCAAGGCGCUGUGGGCCCCAGGGACAUGUCCCGCUGGGAGCCCUGAGCCGGGUCCUCGCUCCUGCUGUCCCCGGGGGCAGUGGGAGAGCUGCGUGUUCGAGAUCCUCCGGAGGAGCUCAGAUCCCGACGAUAGGCCUCGGGUAAGUGUGCGAACUGGGCAUCUUGACUUGAUCCCUGGCUGAACUCGAGGUAGAUGUGUAGGACCCGUUGUGUCCAACUCCGUUAUGGUUGGGGGGGGGGUUGGUUGGUUUUAUUUAUUUUGUUUUUUUGUUUUCAGUUUUUUGGUCUUUUUUAGGGGAGAAAGGUCAGAGGCCUCACGCUAAUCAACCCUCGGAGCCCUCUGGGAGACAUCUACUCCCGAGACUCACUGAACAAAUACCUGGAAUUUGCCGAGAGGUUGGACUUCCACCCCUCGAGACGAGGCCCCUGAGCAGGUUCCUGUCACUCGAGGCCAAGAAGUCAGAACCCGAUGCAAUGUACCCCGAUAGUCUUACCGCCUAGUGUACCCUGCAAAGCUGUGCACGACUCCCUGAAAUUGAAGUGAAAGCAAACGUACCCACAUGCUUCAGCCAAACAUUUUUUUUUGCCAUUUUCCUUUUUUAUUCUUUUGCCCGGGUACAGACACCGACACAACAAACGUGAUCUGGUUUUGCUGCUUUUCCUCUUCUUGCCACGUAACCACUUUCUCCCAGCAGCCACUUCGCGGCCACUUGGCCUGAGGCCAAGCCGGACUCCCAGACCCUAUGCGGGUGAGGACGUGUCCCCAGAGAACCCCGUGUCCCGUUCCCACGCGCAUGUUAACAUCAGUUACCUCUGGAGUCCUCACUGGUUAGGGGCGAUGAUCUCCCAUUUUCUAGAAGAAACACACGCGUCCAAAUUUCAUGACUCUAGUCCAGCCCAGUUUGUGGCAGGGCCUGAGGACGAGAGGAGGAACGCUGGAAGGGUGUGGGCUGGAAUUUGACAGGACAGGGUUCAAACCCCAGCUAGAGCACCUGCUAAGCGAGGGAAUUAACUUUGUCUCUUUGAAGAAACUGUUUCUUGGUCCGUGAAAUGGAGAUACCAGGGGGCCAUGGGGAGAACAAACAUGACGGCCACAUACAUAAUGUCACUAUUCAGUCGGGACCCUGGGUGGGAGCUCCUGCUGGGAGAUGCACCCUCCCCAUUGCACUGGCCUCUGCCUGACAGAUGAAGGAUUCGAUGUUCUCCUGAGCGUCUCUGGAUCCUCUUCCUUCCUACCCCCAAGCCAGGUCUAAGGACCCCUUCCGGUCCCCCCACCCCCCGACCUCACCACGCCCCCUUUGGGAGGGUUGGAUGGGUGCUGGAGCAGUAAGAGUAUCAGAGCUGUAGCCCGAGGAGACCAUGAAAGGGACCGAGGGGAGAUUAGCGGGAACCCAGAUAUUGCUUCCCUUCUUUCGUGCGAUCUGCAGGUACAGCCUACGUGUGAUUACAGGGGACACUGACGUGCUGCCUGUGCUCGACCAACCCAUCAUGCUCCACAGUGUUCUGAGCGUGGAAAGGUGAGGCCAGGCCAGGCCAGGCAGAAGGAGCAGCUUUGCCAAAAGUGGGGCAGCACGUUUUGGAAACGGUGGGUGGCCCACAUGUGUGAAGAGCUGCCUGCCAGGAGGGGGGCUUUGCACCAGCUGCAGGAAGGCCCCGGCCAGACUGACGGUCCUGGACUUGGCUGAGCGGGCACCGGGGAGCUGACCCGCCGAGUUCCCAAGGGGACCUCUAGCUGCCUCCCCAGCUUCGCUGCGGCAACUGUUUCUUGAGCUUUGGGCCCUGCAGGCUCUCAUGUCUAGAAGGACCUCAAGCCCGCCUUCCUGUCUUGUCUCAUUGACUCCAGUUUCAUCCUUCAGUAGUUCUUCAUGACCUUGAUCGUACUGUCUCCUCUCCAGUUUGCCCGACCCCAGCAGGACCCAUGUGAUCGGGGGCACCAGUAGG